RNAcentral lists this transfer RNA (74 nucleotides) under Monascus purpureus. Its description in RNAcentral is "tRNA-Val". The record is from RNAcentral. Lineage: Eukaryota; Fungi; Ascomycota; Eurotiomycetes; Eurotiales; Aspergillaceae.
GGCCGGUUGGUGUAGUUGGUUAUCACGCAUCGUUAACACCGAUGAGGUCGCCAGAUCGAGCCUGGCACUGGUCA